Molecule: ribosomal RNA, 279 nt
Filed under: Ixodes vespertilionis
Lineage: Eukaryota; Metazoa; Arthropoda; Arachnida; Ixodida; Ixodidae
Description: partial large subunit ribosomal RNA
Source: RNAcentral
CGAUUAUAAGCUUUCUUUAAUUAAAAAAUUGAAUUUAAUUUUUUUGUGAAGAAGCAAAAAUUUAAAUUAGGGACAAGAAGACCCUAUGAAUUUUGAAUUAAAUAACAUAAUUUAAAUAAAUUAUGUUAUUUAAAUUAAUUGGGGUGAUUGGAAAAGAAUAUUUAUCUUUUUAAGGAUUUAAUUUGUUCCGUUUAUAGCGAUUUUAUGAAAAAAAUACUCUAGGGAUAACAGCGUAAUAAUUUUGGAUAGUUCAUAUAGAUAAAAUAGUUUGCGACCUCG